GGUCUCAUAGCUCAGCGGGAGAGCGUCCGCCUCACACGCGGAAGGUCGCUGGUUCGAUCCCAGCUGGGACCACCA
RNAcentral lists this transfer RNA (75 nucleotides) under Nocardia farcinica. RNAcentral describes it as "tRNA-Val". It matches the Rfam family "tRNA". Rfam says of the family: Transfer RNA (tRNA) molecules are approximately 80 nucleotides in length. RNAcentral also lists the same sequence under 2 other names. Lineage: Bacteria; Bacillati; Actinomycetota; Actinomycetes; Mycobacteriales; Nocardiaceae. The record is from RNAcentral.